RNAcentral lists this long non-coding RNA (227 nucleotides) under Castor canadensis (American beaver). Its description in RNAcentral is "lncRNA (ENSCCNG00000028303.1)". Lineage: Eukaryota; Metazoa; Chordata; Mammalia; Rodentia; Castoridae. The record is from RNAcentral.
AGGACGUGGCGAUAAGAAGCAUCACUCGGAGGCCCGUUUCACGUAGAAGGGGUUUUCUUUUACUACCCUCGGAUGACUUCCUUCGUCACGCGUGGAUCUGCUCUAAGGCUGCCUGCCUGCCUGCCGGCCGCCUGCGGAAGUCCUCCCUGGGGCCUUUGCCGCCCCGGAGCUGCCAGGCAUCGCGGGCGCGCGCGCGCGCACACACACAGAGGACCUGCGAACCGACC